AAAUCCGUCGACUUUUAAAAUCGUGAGGGUUCAA
Molecule: transfer RNA, 34 nt
Filed under: Pimelea cinerea
Lineage: Eukaryota; Viridiplantae; Streptophyta; Magnoliopsida; Malvales; Thymelaeaceae
Also listed under: 1 other name
Description: partial tRNA-Leu
Source: RNAcentral